This 76-nucleotide non-coding RNA is filed under the name unclassified sequences. The record is from Rfam.
CACCCGGUCGUGUUCGGUAGCGGUAACGCCCGAAAGGUUUCGCUCUAAGAACCUUGACAACACGCAACCGGGUUUU